AUUGAACGCUGGCGGCAGGCCUAACACAUGCAAGUCGAGCGAGCGGCGGACGGGUGAGUAAUGUCUGGGAAACUGCCUGAUGUAGGGGGAUAACUACUGGAAACGGUAGCUAAUACCGCAUACCAUCAGAUGUGCCCAGAUGGGAUUGGCUAGUAGGUGGGGUAACGGCUCACCUAGGCGACGAUCCCUAGCUGGUCUGAGAGGAUGACCAGCCACCCGGGAACUGGGACACGGUCAGAACUCCUCCGGAGGGCGGAGUUGGGGAAUAUUGCCCAAUGGGCGAAAGCCUGAUGCGGACAUGCCGCGUGUGUGAAGAAGGCCUUCGGGUUGUAAAGCACUUUCAGCGGGGAGGCGUUACCCGCAGAGGAAGGACCGGCUAACUCCGUGCCAGCCGCCGCGGUAAUAC
RNAcentral lists this ribosomal RNA (406 nucleotides) under uncultured bacterium. RNAcentral's name for it is "partial 16S ribosomal RNA". It matches the Rfam family "Bacterial small subunit ribosomal RNA", at positions 29 to 526 of the family's 1533-position model. The record is from RNAcentral.